Molecule: ribosomal RNA, 253 nt
Filed under: uncultured bacterium
Lineage: Bacteria
Description: partial 16S ribosomal RNA
Rfam family: Bacterial small subunit ribosomal RNA
Source: RNAcentral
GACAGAGGGUGCAAACGUUGUUCGGAAUUACUGGGCGUAAAGCGUGUGUAGGCGGUCUACUAAGUCGGGUGUGAAAGCCCUGGGCUCAACCCAGGAAGUGCACUCGAAACUGGCGGGCUAGAGUAUCGGAGAGGUUGGUGGAAUUCUCGGUGUAGAGGUGAAAUUCGUAGAUAUCGAGAGGAACACCGGUGGCGAAGGCGGCCAACUGGACGAAUACUGACGCUGAGACACGAAAGCGUGGGGAGCAAACAGG